UUACUCUGGUUUCUCUUCUGAUCAUAUAAAUAUUUUGCCUUUUACUAAAGAUUUCCAUGGAGACAAAUUGGAGUAGAAAGGGAGACAAAUUGGAGUGAUCCAAGGACCUGUCCGGAUCCU
RNAcentral lists this small nuclear RNA (120 nucleotides) under Pogona vitticeps (central bearded dragon). RNAcentral describes it as "U5 spliceosomal RNA (ENSPVIG00000018707.1)". The stretch from base 1 to 83 matches the Rfam family "U5 spliceosomal RNA". From Rfam's summary of the family: U5 RNA is a component of both types of known spliceosome. The precise function of this molecule is unknown, though it is known that the 5' loop is required for splice site selection and p220 binding, and that both the 3' stem-loop and the Sm site are important for Sm protein binding and cap methylation. Lineage: Eukaryota; Metazoa; Chordata; Lepidosauria; Squamata; Agamidae. The record is from Rfam by way of RNAcentral.